CGAACCGAGCGAACGUUGUUCGGAAUCACUGGGCUUAAACGGGUGCGUAGGCGGGCUGCCAAGUUUGGGGUGAAAUCCUCCGGCUCAACCGGGGAAGUGCCUUGAAUACUGGCGGUCUCGAGGGAGGUAGGGGGCGUGCGGAACUAACGGUGGAGCGGUGAAAUGCGUUGAUAUCGUUAGGAACUCCGGUGGCGAAGGCGGCACGCUAGACCUCUUCUGACGCUGAGGCACGAAAGCCAGGGGAGCGAACGGGAUUAGAUACCCCGGUAGUCCUGGCCCUAAACGUUGAGAACUAGGUAGCAGGCCGGACAUGGGCUUGCUGCCGGAGCAAAAGUGCUAAGUUCUCUGCCUGGGGAGUAUGGUCGCAAGGCUG
Molecule: ribosomal RNA, 373 nt
Filed under: uncultured organism
Description: bacterial SSU rRNA
Rfam family: Bacterial small subunit ribosomal RNA
Source: RNAcentral